GUGUUUGGAACACCAUCCUCAUUUUCAUCCAACCUAGCUCUAUUUACACUUUCAUUCUAUUUUCUAUGUAUGAAUAGAACCCAUAGAAGAAGAAAUUUCUAUGGAGAGGAAAAUUUCAAAAGAGAUACUAAUUGAUAUAGAGAAGCUUCCAAAUCAUGUGAUAAUAGAGAUAUUCAUAAGAACAAAAGUAAGUGAUUGGGCUCAAAUAUCAUGUGUGAAUAAGCAUUGGGCUUCUCUUUUCCAUACCGAAUGCUUCUGGCAAGCAGCUCUUUUUCACAUCUAUCCAUUCAUCAAUCCUGCUCAAACAUGGCCCAAAUCCAUUCCUCAAAGUUCUUUAGCCAAGAGGAGAUUCAUGGCCUUACAUAUAAGUGAACAUAUAUUGGCAUAUGAUUGUGAUAUACAAGUAGACGAGAUUGUUGGGCACGGUUAUCUGUUUUUGAAAGAACAACUUCAACUUUCUAUUAUACCUCCUCAUAGUGGAAUACUUCACGGAACCAUGAUUGAAGAUCAGUUCAUUGCUUGUGGCAAGUCAAGAGACGUAGCCCAUGAACUUGCAUCUUGAAUUUGGGUUGCAGUUGUUGAUAAUUUGGAAGAAAACCAGCACACCUUUUGCUUGCUUAAACGUCUUGCACAAGAAGGGGAUGUUUAUCUUCGAUACCCUUACACUAGAUCAGUGAAAGUUCAAUGGAGGGUGUUUGAAAAGCUUUUUACUGAUUUCCGUGAUUGCUUCAACCAUGUAGAUUAUUAUGAUAUGUUGGCAUGUGCUAAAAGUAGGUUUCAGCCUAUACCAUCUUCUUGGUUAGGUUAUUAGCAAACAAGACAUUCUCAAAGCAAAUUUAAUGUCAUCAAGGCCCAAUUCUUUUGGAAAAUGUAUAAGUAUAUAUGACUCAAAUAAAUUGUCUUGAAAUCUAA
RNA transcript from Cicer arietinum (chickpea), 912 nucleotides. RefSeq lists it as uncharacterized. The record is from RefSeq and is a predicted model, not a curated record. NCBI's taxonomy places the organism in Eukaryota, Viridiplantae, Streptophyta, Magnoliopsida, Fabales, Fabaceae.